AGGUGUGCAGACAGUGAGCCACAGUCAAGCCCUGAUUCAAGCUGUCAUUGUUGGCCAAAAUGUCACUGGUCUGAGUCAUUGGACCAAUUUGGCCAUCUGUAACGGGGCAUUUCCGCCAGAGCCAUCGACGGAGGGCGUCUCGAGAAGAGAAGAGGUCGCGCAGUAAGGGAGAAACUGGGCCACAGCAACACUUCUUAAUUGCUAGCAGUCUUGACACUGGAGUUCACCCUGUAAGCUGCAUGCUGCCACCUGGUGCGAAGUCGUGGCGAUGAGGGGCAGUGAAGGCAUCUCGCACUGCAGGAUUAUACACCGCGUUGUACUGAAAACCAUGCAGAUCCAGCCCCAUGUGGAACCACCUGUGGCUCACCAGGCGCAGGAUCUUUCUAUCGUUUCCAUCAAAAGGCUGCACUAGGCAGGAUCGCCGUCGCAGGCACGUACAUAUGCAGGCUUAUCUUGUCUAAUCCUCAGAGAGCAGUAAAGCGAGGGAGAGGGUAAAGUAAGGAAGACUUUGUGACUCAUUGUAUGCUCCAGCUCUAAUUCACUAAUGUGUGCAUACCAGCUCCACAGGCACAAUUUCAUACACAUUUUAAUAUCGCACUCACGGGUUUUCAGCCUUAUUCCUGGCUGCCUUUCUCCAGGUGCAUUGUACCCUGGCAGUGUGAAAAGAAAAUCACAAAUGAAACAUUUUCUCAUGUCAUCACAAACCAUAAGAGCCAGGGGUUUAUGAGUAGAUUUUUCAUCUUUGUCUUUCUCUGCAUCACAUUCUAUUUCCAAUAACUAUUUGUUGAUAGGAUCAUCACUAACA
This is a long non-coding RNA of Perca flavescens (yellow perch), 805 nucleotides long. RefSeq lists it as uncharacterized. The record is from RefSeq and is a predicted model, not a curated record. The transcript is spliced from 3 exons. Lineage: Eukaryota; Metazoa; Chordata; Actinopteri; Perciformes; Percidae.